AACGAACGCUGGCGGCGUGCUUAAUACAUGCAAGUCGAACGUGAAGUGUAGCAAUACAUGGAAAGUGGCGAACGGGUGAGUAACACGUAAGCAAUCUGCCUCUAAGAUUGGGAUAACCCUGCCAACGCGGGGCUAAUACCGGAUGUGGUCCGGAUGACGCAUGUUGUCUGGAUUAAAGGAGUGAUCCGCUUAGAGAUGAGCUUGCGUCCCAUUAGCUAGUUGGUGCGGGUAACGGCCCACCAAGGCUGCGAUGGGUAGCCGGCCUGAGAGGGUGAUCGGCCACAUUGGGACUGAGACACGGCCCAGACUCCUACGGGAGGCAGCAGUGAGGAAUUUUGCGCAAUGGGGGAAACCCUGACGCAGCGACGCCGCGUGGAGGAUGAAGGCCUUCGGGUCGUAAACCCUCGUCAGAGGUGAAGAAUGCCCGCAAGGGUUUGACGGUAACCUCAGAGGAAGCCCCGGCUAACUACGUGCCAGCAGCCGCGGUAAUACGUAGCGU
RNAcentral lists this ribosomal RNA (499 nucleotides) under uncultured bacterium. RNAcentral's name for it is "bacterial SSU rRNA". It matches the Rfam family "Bacterial small subunit ribosomal RNA", at positions 29 to 533 of the family's 1533-position model. The record is from RNAcentral.